UAUGACCACUGAACUGUCGUGAACGUUCAGGAUCUCAUCUGAUCUCAGAAGGUAAGCAGGAUCAGGCCUGGUUGCUAUUUAGAUGGGAGGAAAAGUGAGGCGAACGUGUCCUGUAAGCCAGGGAGUGCAAUGA
RNAcentral lists this ribosomal RNA (133 nucleotides) under Meriones unguiculatus (Mongolian gerbil). Lineage: Eukaryota; Metazoa; Chordata; Mammalia; Rodentia; Muridae. The record is from RNAcentral.